AAACUUUUUCCCUUUUUCUUCACGUAUCUUCUACAACUAAAAAGAAAGAACCCCUUUUUUUCUGAUUUUCCAUAAAAAUUGGUUCUUGAAAGGAUAAAGAUUGAAUCUUUGUUGUGUUUUAUGAAAUGGGUGUUCAGUGUCAAGAAAAUAUUUUGGUGACUGGAGGAGCUGGUUUCAUUGGAACACAUACUGUGGUGCAGUUACUGAAUGAAGGGUUCAAAGUUACAAUCAUUGAUAACUUUCAUAAUUCUGUGAAAGAAGCUGUUGAUAGAGUCAGAGAAUUAGUUGGUCCUCAACUUUCACAGAAUCUUGAAUUCCAUUUGGGUGAUAUUAGAAACAGAGAUGACUUGGAGAAGCUAUUUUCUAAGAAAGAGUUUGCUGCUGUGGUCCAUUUUGCUGGGCUUAAGGCUGUUGGAGAGAGUGUUGUUCAGCCCUUCCUUUACUUUGAGAACAAUCUGAUUGGAUCAAUAACUUUGUAUUCAGUCAUGGCCAAGUAUAAUUGUAAGAAGUUGGUUUUUUCAUCAUCUGCAACAGUUUAUGGUCAGCCUGAAAAGGUUCCCUGUGUGGAGGAUUUUGAAUUGAAGGCUAUGAAUCCUUAUGGUCGAACAAAGCUAUUUCUUGAAGAUAUUGCACGGGAUAUCCAGAAGGCUGAUCAAGAAUGGAAUAUCAUACUGUUGAGGUAUUUCAACCCGGUAGGAGCUCAUGAAAGUGGCAAACUCGGGGAAGAUCCAAAGGGCAUUCCGAACAAUCUUAUGCCUUACAUUCAGCAAGUAGCUGUUGGUAGAUUGCCGGAGUUGAAUGUAUAUGGCAACGACUACCCUACACCUGAUGGUACCGCGAUACGAGAUUAUAUCCAUGUUAUGGAUUUGGCGGACGGUCAUGUUGUUGCACUUCAGAGACUUCUAAGGCAGAAUCACAUAGGUUGUGUUGCCUACAAUUUGGGUACUGGAAAAGGCAAAUCUGUCCUAGAGAUGGUUGGUGCCUUUGAAAAGGCGUCUGGAAAGAAAAUCCCGCUUAAAAUGUGUCCAAGAAGACCAGGAGAUGCCACUGCUGUUUACGCAUCUACUGAAAAAGCUGAGAAGGAGCUCGGUUGGAAGGCAAAAUAUGGGAUAAAUGAGAUGUGCAGGGACCAGUGGAAAUGGGCAAGCCAAAAUCCUUGGGGUUACCAACCAAAGCCUUGAUAUGUUAUAAUAAUAAUAAUAAUAAUACAAGUAGCACUUGGAGUACAAAACUGUAGUCAACAUCCUAGUACUUUACAUUUCAUGCAAACAUUAGAUGUAUCCAAGGACAAAAGUGUUCAUCCAUAAUAGUUGUUGAUGGUUAUGUACUACUAAACCCUGUUGUUGUCUCCCUUAAAGGUUUUAUGGGAACUUGAAUGUUCAUCCUAUUAUGAUCCCUUCAACCAAAUCUCUUUACUGAUUGUAAUUCAUUCAAAAAGAGUAAAUGAUCUAG
This 1452-nucleotide unclassified non-coding RNA is filed under the name Hevea brasiliensis (rubber tree). Lineage: Eukaryota; Viridiplantae; Streptophyta; Magnoliopsida; Malpighiales; Euphorbiaceae. The record is from RNAcentral.